CUACGGGGGGCUCCAGGCGCGAAACUUCUACAAUGCACGAAAGUGUGAUAGGGGGAACCCCAGUGCUUACACAAUGUGUAGGCUUUUGCCAAAGGUAAAGUCUUUGGCGAAUAAGUGAUGGGCAAGACCGGUGCCAGCAGCCGCGGUAAUACCGGCGUCACAAGUGGCAAUCACAAUUAUUGGGUCUAAAGCGUUCGUAGCCGGUUUAGUAAAUCUUUUGUGAAAUUGUCGGGCUCAACUCGUCAGCAUGCAGAAGACACUACUAAACUUGGGACCAGGAGGGGUCAGAAGUAUCUCAAGAGGAGCGGUAAAAUGUUAUAAUUCUUGAAAGACUACCAAUGGCAAAGGCAUCUGACUAGAAUGGAUCCGACGGUGAGGAACGAAGGCCAGGGGAGCGAACCGGAUUAGAUACCCCAGUAGUC
This 422-nucleotide ribosomal RNA is filed under the name uncultured archaeon. RNAcentral describes it as "partial 16S ribosomal RNA". It matches the Rfam family "Archaeal small subunit ribosomal RNA", at positions 323 to 746 of the family's 1478-position model. The record is from RNAcentral.